This 130-nucleotide ribosomal RNA is filed under the name Paramormyrops kingsleyae. The record is from RNAcentral. Lineage: Eukaryota; Metazoa; Chordata; Actinopteri; Osteoglossiformes; Mormyridae.
ACAAAGAUCUGUCCCACCAAACCAUACCACCUGCAGUUCAGACAAGGUAAUCGAACUGAAAUUAAGCGGGUCUGGGCCUGGCCAGUACUUUGAUGACAGACCAACUAGGAAAGCUGGGUUGCUGUUUGUU